This 69-nucleotide transfer RNA is filed under the name Agrilus biguttatus. RNAcentral's name for it is "tRNA-Lys". The record is from RNAcentral. Lineage: Eukaryota; Metazoa; Arthropoda; Insecta; Coleoptera; Buprestidae.
CAUUGGGUGGCUGAAAGCAAGCACUGGUCUCUUAAACCAUUUUAUAGUAAGUAGCAAUUACUCCCAAUG